GAGGCUAAUAGCCGAUACGAAACAGACGCUGGAAUGCACUGUAUUCCAAAGACACCGCUGAAGGAUGCGGCUGCGGCCGAUUAGGUAGACGGUGGGGUAACGGCCCACCGUGCCAGUAAUCGGUACGGGUGAUGAGAGUCAGAGCCCGGAGACGGAAUCUGAGACAAGAUUCCGGGCCCUACGGGGCGCAGCAGGCGCGAAACCUUUACACUGCACGAAAGUGCGAUAGGGGAAUCCCAAGUGCGAGGGCAUAUUAGCCCUCGCUUUUGUUGACUCUAAGGCGGUCAACGAAUAAGAGCUGGGCAAGACCGGUGCCGGCCGCCGCGGUAAUACCGGCAGCUCAAGUGAUGUCCCAUAUUAUUGGGCCUAAAGCGUCCGUAGCUGGCCGACCAAGUCUAUCGGGAAAUCCACCUGCCCAACAGGUGGGCGUCCGGUAGAAACUGGCCGGCUUGGAACCGGAAGGCUCAGAGAGUACGUCCGGGGUAGGAGUGAAAUCCCGUAAUCCCGGACGGACUACCGAUGGCGAAAGCACUCUGAGAAGACGGCUUCGACAGUGAGGGACGAACGCUCGGGUCUCAAACCGGAUUAGAUACCCGGGUAGUC
This 603-nucleotide ribosomal RNA is filed under the name uncultured archaeon. RNAcentral describes it as "bacterial SSU rRNA". It matches the Rfam family "Archaeal small subunit ribosomal RNA", at positions 142 to 746 of the family's 1478-position model. The record is from RNAcentral.